UUAUCUGUGAUGAGAAAGCUAACACGUAAGAAGAGAGUAGUCCUUUGUGGUGUCUUUCUUCAAUGAAAUACCUUUGUUACGCUUGGCUUCUGAGAUAC
Non-coding RNA from Brassica napus (rape), 98 nucleotides. The record is from Rfam. Lineage: Eukaryota; Viridiplantae; Streptophyta; Magnoliopsida; Brassicales; Brassicaceae.